CCCGCGCGGUCCUGGGCGGCGCACGCGCGGUGCGGCGGCGCGAGCCCUGGGCGGCCGGCGCACGCGCGGUGCGGUGGCGGGCAAGAUGGCGGCGAGCAGGGCGGGUGUUUUCGCUGGACGGCGGCGGGCGAGGGCAGAGGCGGCCUGGAGUCGAGCAUGUGGGGGCCGCGGUGAGGCGAGGGCCCCGGUUCCUCCCCAGCGCGGGCCGGGGCGUGCGCUCACCCCUGUGGACGCAGCCUGGAGGAGCAGGGGUGCAGGCGGGCCCCGGAGCGGGAUUGUGGCACGGCGUCAGCAGGGGGACGGCUCGUGAUGUGGCAGGUGUGCCCGAGAGUGCUGGCAAGCAAGAAGAUGGGUAGAAGACAGAUGCUCCUGGACACCCUGAGGCCUCCCCUGCCCCCAGGCACAGACUGUGGGUACCAGCCGACCUGGGCACCAACUGACUGGAACCACCGCUGAGCCCUGCUGCCUCCUGUACAGCUACCCCAAAGCCAUGGGCUUCCCCGGUGCAGCAUGUGUCGAUGGGUCCUCCAUUGCCUCUGACGUCUCCCCAGGCACUCGUACGCUGUGCGGAGGUCUGGAUGUCUCCAGCAACGGCACAGCAGCCUGAUGCCACCUCUCGUCUGGGACGCGGGGUCCUUUGCAGCUCUUCUGGGAUGCGGGGUCCUUGGUGAGUUCCCUGCUGCCUCCUCUGGUGUUCUCUGCGAGCUCAUAGAUCCCUCCUCCUCCUCCUCCCCCCCCCCACCCCUUUGCCUGUUGGGGUGGGAGACCGGUGGCUCCUCCCGCCGAGCUGACAGCCGCGUGGGGCACCCCUAUGUGCUCACUACGCAUCUGGGAUGGCCCUCCUGCCCUGAGGGCCCUGCAGAGUCCCACCCUUCCUGCAACUAGCCCCCUCUCCCCCCCCCCCCAAGCCAUUAAACCAUGCAAUAUCAGGUAAAAAUGUCAGGUAAAAACAAGGAUUACUUUUUAAACUAAUCCGUGGAUAAACCAUGUGUAUAAUAGUCUGGAAACAAUUGAUAAGCAUGAGUAAAAUGUAAUUCAGGGUCUGAUCCUGUAAUCCAUGCUCACAGAUGUACAAAUGAUAACAUUUUCAGUUUAAGGGCACAAGCAGUUCUAAAAAUACUUGACUAAUUUUGCUCAUUUCCCAGUGUUCUGUAGAGAGUGGCUAUUUUAAAAAGUUAACCAAGUCUGUGUAGUUUUAAUUAGAUGUAUUAAAAAGAUAAAACAAGGAAAUAUAGCUCACAUUCAAACACUCAAAUAUGUGAAAAUAGCUGAAAUUGCUCUUACUGCACUAAGCUCCUUAAAUUGACUUGCUGGAAUGUUGAAUAUUAGAAUGAUCAGACCAGAGUAUUAGCAGCUUUAAUGCUUUUAUCUGGUGCGGUUCGCCCACCUGAGGGUUACCGAGCAGGCACAGUCGACUUCCUUUCUGAUGGCUGUGAUGCCGGGCUUCGUGCUGGUGUGUGAACUGCCGCUGUCUGUGCAUAGUGCAAAAAAGAGUAACUAAGACAGACCUUUGUGGUGAGAACCCUUGAUAUGGUUCUGUCAGGAACACAUCCCGCUGUCCUCAAUAGAAAAGCCACCCUAGAUCUCAAGUUUGAUUCGGUAACUGAUUAAAUGGAUUCUGGUUUAGAUCACGAAUAUAUCACAUAGUCAAAACUGUGCAAUAUUCUCCAUGAACAAUUAAAGUGAUUAUUUCAUUUUAGACCUUGAAUAAGGAGUUGAAUGAGCUGGUAAACAUUACUUGGUGUUAAGAUGGUAUGAAAAUUUAAUAUCUUUAUUCUUCAGUCUCAGUGCUGCAAGAGUCUCUCUUUCAUCCUGGUAGAUAAUAUUAAUUGCUGUUUCUCUACCUGUGGAGCAUAUGAGAUUUGCCAUGCAAGCUCAGAAUGAAUACAAUUAUCCAACAACCUUACAAAUUUAGAAAAUAAUUUCUGCAGCCAAGACGUAUAGCAAUGUUGUAGCAUAUGUACAACCUAAAAAGAUGGUUUCCAGAGAUGCAUAUGUAUAUUAAGUUUCAGCCUUCUGGGUGUGUGACUAUUCAGAGACGCCCAGUGAACUGUGUCCAGGUUAGCCUGUAGCCAAACAGGCAGACCCAGCACACCGUGCCUGUGGUGUGUUCAAGCUGAAAGAGACUUCAGGUGCACUGUCGUCACCGGGUAUCAUGCUGACAGGCUUACGGUGUCCACAAGGGGUGGGUCUUUUCUGGGCAAUUCACAGCUGCUCUUAGACUACCAUAUAGUCAGAAUCCUAUGCGGAAUUAUUAAUGGUUUUGCUACUGAAAAAAAAAAAAGAAAGACAGAACACUUGAUCUGCAUAUUGAUAGCCUGAAAAAACAAAAAAGAUAUAGGAUACAGAAAAAAAGAAAGAGGAUAAUAAUUUAUUUAAGCUAAAAGCAACAUUAAACUACUGCUUCAUUGUUCUACUACCUUUAGCUCACAGAGCUUAAGUUCCUGGGGAAGCCUGAUAAGGGGUAAGAUGAAAUAGGAUUUUUUUUCAGUUUUUUUUAGUAGCAGACUAGUGAAGGUGAUAUGAUCGAGGUCCCUAAUUUUUUUUUUUCCUCUGCCCAAGAAAACUCGGAAGGAUACAUCACUGCUUUGACAGAGAGGGGAUAAAACAAAAUCAAAAAAGAGCUCCUUUUUCAGGAGCAAUUCCCACUUACUGUGAUUUAAGCACCCACUCUGAAGUUCUGGGACUAAGUACAUGGUCCAUAUGCUCUGACUACAAAAAACACUAUCCACAGAGAGCAAGGUCGCUGUGAUUACCUAUGUAAAGUUUCAUUCAGGAUGCCCAUUAUCUGGAGAAACCUAUUGUUGCACAUGAUCUGUCUUAUAUUUUCUCGACAUACAAUACAACGAUUUCUCAACAUAUAAUACUUGAAGACCGAUAUAAAUAUUCUGUAGAAUGAUACUUUCUAAGUCAUUAAUUUUAAAUCAUAAAUCAAAAAUAUUUUAAAAAGAGAGAUUUGUUCUGCAUUGUCGGAGAAUAACUACCUUUAAAAUAAACUAAAAAGGCUCUAUAAAUGAAUAAAUUUUGCAAUUUUUUGCCUUCAAUAGUAUUCAAAGGUUAAAAGUCAAUUAAAAUUGUAAAAUAAGUGGACUAGCUACUUAUUUCAUUUAUUUUAUCUUUCCCUUUCCUCCUUUGAAUACUCUUUUUCUUAAAUUGUAUUUUCCAGAUAUUGCUAUAUUUCAGUUGUACUUUCUCUUUUUCUAAUAUUCUCUUUGUAAGUAUGUCCCGAUCCAAUAUCGGGAGGGUUUUGUUAUGAUCCCAAGGAUGAGAUUAAGACGCUAAAACUGGUCAAAUAUC
Molecule: long non-coding RNA, 3297 nt
Organism: Dromaius novaehollandiae (emu)
Lineage: Eukaryota; Metazoa; Chordata; Aves; Casuariiformes; Dromaiidae
Exons: 3
Source: RefSeq, a predicted model, not a curated record